GCAGUCGACGAACUCUGGUAUUGAUUGGUGCUUGCAUCAUGAUUUACAUUUGAGUGAGUGGCGAACUGGUGAGUAACACGUGGGAAACCUGCCCAGAAGCGGGGGAUAACACCUGGAAACAGAUGCUAAUACCGCAUAACAACUUGGACCGCAUGGUCCGAGUUUGAAAGAUGGCUUCGGCUAUCACUUUUGGAUGGUCCCGCGGCGUAUUAGCUAGAUGGUGAGGUAACGGCUCACCAUGGCAAUGAUACGUAGCCGACCUGAGAGGGUAAUCGGCCACAUUGGGACUGAGACACGGCCCAAACUCCUACGGGAGGCAGCAGUAGGGAAUCUUCCACAAUGGACGAAAGUCUGAUGGAGCAACGCCGCGUGAGUGAAGAAGGGUUUCGGCUCGUAAAACUCUGUUGUUAAAGAAGAACAUAUCUGAGAGUAACUGUUCAGGUAUUGACGGUAUUUAACCAGAAAGCCACGGCUAACUACGUGCCAGCAGCCGCGGUAAUACGUAGGUGGCAAGCGUUGUCCGGAUUUAUUGGGCGUAAAGCGAGCGCAGGCGGUUUUUUAAGUCUGAUGUGAAAGCCUUCGGCUCAACCGAAGAAGUGCAUCGGAA
This 607-nucleotide ribosomal RNA is filed under the name Lactiplantibacillus plantarum. RNAcentral's name for it is "bacterial SSU rRNA". It matches the Rfam family "Bacterial small subunit ribosomal RNA", at positions 57 to 631 of the family's 1533-position model. Lineage: Bacteria; Bacillati; Bacillota; Bacilli; Lactobacillales; Lactobacillaceae. The record is from RNAcentral.